This 1226-nucleotide long non-coding RNA is filed under the name Ananas comosus (pineapple). Its description in RNAcentral is "long non-coding RNA (ACOM_LNC007082)". The record is from RNAcentral. Lineage: Eukaryota; Viridiplantae; Streptophyta; Magnoliopsida; Poales; Bromeliaceae.
ACGAACGUGGGGUGGAAGUGGAAAUGGAAAGUAAUUUUCGGUAAAAUCUGACCACUUCCGUUGUUUGGUUCACCGUAAUUUUAUUACGCCCGAAAAUCUAGUUCACCCAAAAUAAUAAAAUUGACUUCCCUCUCCCAUGGGACGAAGUCAAUUUCGGUGAGGUGAAAAAAGGCAAGAGUGGGAAUUGAUGUGUUAGGGUUACCCUUUCUCUACCCUUUCCUCUUCUUUAAUAUAUUUUAUGUUUAAUUUGUAUAUUUAGAAAAUGAUGAAAAAUGAAUUUGUUAAAUGUUAAUAAUUUUUUAAUUUUUAGAAUUUUAUUUGUUGUAUUAUUAUAAUUUAUAUACAAACAAAUAAUAUAAUUUUUUAAAUUUUAUUUUAUAAUUAUACAUAUAUAUAAUUAUAUACGUAUAUAAUUAUAUUACUUUUAAUUUAUUAUAAUUUAUUAUUCACUAAGUUACAAAUUUGACAAUGAUAUCACUUCGGAGGUAAGUAUACCAGGGGUGGAGAACUAUACUUUUUACAUCAUCUACUUCCUACCAAACAAACAACAGAACUCGUAAAACUGUACUUUCACAGUUAAAAACAAACAGCGGAAGUGAAUUAAUUUUCACUCCAACUCCACUUCAACCCAAAGUCCACUUCCACCCCAAGUUUACUUACGUUGAAACAAACAUGCCCCAAGAGGAUGGCCACCCCCUUGGCCUCUGUCAGGGAACGGAAAGGAAUUAACAGGGAGGAACAAGCACCCUUCUUUUGAGGCUUUUACUAUUAGGGUUGGGAAGGUUUUGAUUAUUAUGGUUUGGGUUAUAAAAUUAUGAGUGUUUUUUUGGCUAUUAGAUUCAGAUUUAAUAGUUUGAAUUUUUUUUAUAUAUUACAUUAUAUUAAAUUUGUUCGGAUUCGGAUUCAUAUUCGGGUUUGGGUUCGGGUCGGGUUCAGGUUCGAGUUCGAAUUUGUUUUUUAAAUAUCCAUACCCGAACUCGAAUCCAUCGGAAUCCAUAUCCAUAUGCAUUUACAUCAGAUAAAAUCAGCUCUGUUUGAAUUCAAAUUCAGAUAAAAUUCGAAUAUCCGUAUCCAUUAACAUUCCUACUUCCAACAUAUAAAAUAGGCCGUAAUAAGUCUAAAGAUUCUAGAGAAGAACUGCUGUUGCCUAAUGACCAAACCCUUGUGCGAUAUUCUAGCGAUAUUAACGACCCCUUGCAAAGUUGACCCAGUCAAUUUGGUGGACG